GAUCCUGGCUCAGGAUGAACGCUAGCUACAGGCUUAACACGUGCAAGUCGAACGGUAACAUAAAGAAGCUUGCUUCUUUGAUGACGAGUGGCGGACGGGUGAGUAAUGCUUGGGAAUCUAGCUUAUGGAGGGGGAUAACUACGGGAAACUGUAGCUAAUACCGCGUAAUAUCGAAAGAUUAAAGUGUGGGACCUUCGGGCCACAUGCCAUAGGAUGAGCCCAAGUGGGAUUAGGUAGUUGGUGAGGUAAAGG
This 252-nucleotide ribosomal RNA is filed under the name uncultured bacterium. RNAcentral describes it as "partial 16S ribosomal RNA". It matches the Rfam family "Bacterial small subunit ribosomal RNA", at positions 15 to 263 of the family's 1533-position model. The record is from RNAcentral.